CUUUACCAUAGACGAAGCAGAGUCCAGCCCGGGGUUCUCACAUGUGGUUGCCGCAAGCCGUUCUCAAGUUCGCCGGCUGUUCCUCACUCAAGCCCCCCAUGUGUGACAUUUUAUGGAGCACUGUUUCCUGACCUGCAGAGUAACCUACAAUGGGUCUGUGCUCAAAGGCUGUUUUAUAAAAUGGAGCAAUUCCAACUUUGCAAGGACAAUAUGGUGCUUAUGACUCAUAGCCUAUAUUCAUGAGUCCGACACCACUUCAUUGUCUGGCUAUUCUGAGACUCUGUCUCAAUUCUGGACAAAGAGGACAAUGGGAUAGACACCUGUUACCAGUCUAUGAGCAUAACAGAUACAUCAUCCUGCUGCAAUGAGUGCCUAUGGACACACUCAUCACCCAAUGUCCUUGGAAGGCCCCUGUAGAGUUCUUAGAGGGGGGUCUGAACAGAUGGUCCCUGCUGA
Carassius auratus (goldfish) is the source of this 456-nucleotide long non-coding RNA. RefSeq lists it as uncharacterized. NCBI's taxonomy places the organism in Eukaryota, Metazoa, Chordata, Actinopteri, Cypriniformes, Cyprinidae. The transcript has 3 exons. The record is from RefSeq and is a predicted model, not a curated record.